UCGACAUCGACAUCUCUCGGCUACCCAAAUACUCGCUCAGAUACGUGUACACGAACACACACCUGCUGCCAGACAGAAGGUCUGUCUGUAAGGACGUCUCCCAAGAUUGGCAUAAUUUCAAGUACGAGUAAAGGAAAGACAACAGCAUUGUCCGCCUUCAAGGAAAGUGCAUCGGAGAGCCACCAGCUGCUGCGAUCCACGACUCGUUUUAGCCAAAUUUGUCGCUUCGCAAGGUUGAAAGCUGCAUAAUCGAGGCUUGCCUGUUCCAGCAGCAGAGCAACAGAGCAGCAGAGCAUCAGAGCUGCCUCAAAUUAGUCGUCUUUCAGUUUAUUUCUCUCGUUUUACAGUCAACAACUUUGACUUUUGACUGCACUGUAAUUUAGCCGUAAAUUCACAUGUUAACUUGUGUGUGGAGGGGAGUGGAGUGAAAAAUGCUGCCAUGUGCCCAGCGGGCGAAUAAUUUUCCUUCAUUUUCUGCUUUGCUGCUUUGUUGCGUCAAAAUUAAAUCAUCAUUAAAUCUCUGUUUUACACAUAAUUGCUUUAAUUUGCAUGCUAAAACAGCAGGGAAAGAGUGACUGAAAUUCGUUUUCAAGUUGGGGAUUCAAUUACGCUAAGCGUUCGUGACAGAUGGAGAAGGAGGGUAGGAGAAAAGGCCAAAAAAGGCCAGAGAAACAACUCCCAUAUCCAUGGGCUGGCAGAGAGAUCUUUCGGCAAAGAAUCGCAUAAAGAUAUAUAGAUACUGCCAAAGAAACGAAAGGGAGAAACCAGUAAAUACGAGAUUGGUGACCCCGAAUUUUAUAUAUUUGCCCAAAAACAAAUUCAGAAACUUGCAACUCCAAUUAAAUGUCUAAUUAAAACCAAUUUGAUCUUAUUUGUGGAAUGACAUAACGAUGGCUCUCCCUGGUGGACUGGUGGAUUGGUGACCACGACAGAAAUCACAGAAUCUGAAGCAAUUGAAUGGCAGAUUGCCUCAAUCUUGUUACAUUUUGGACCUCGACCUCGGCUAGCAGCAGCAUUUAUCUAAACAAAUUCAGAAAUUGCAAUUAAAUUCAUUAACGUCAA
Long non-coding RNA from Drosophila pseudoobscura, 1062 nucleotides. RefSeq lists it as uncharacterized. Lineage: Eukaryota; Metazoa; Arthropoda; Insecta; Diptera; Drosophilidae. The transcript has 2 exons. The record is from RefSeq and is a predicted model, not a curated record.